This is a long non-coding RNA of Triticum urartu, 3356 nucleotides long. RefSeq lists it as uncharacterized. NCBI's taxonomy places the organism in Eukaryota, Viridiplantae, Streptophyta, Magnoliopsida, Poales, Poaceae. The record is from RefSeq and is a predicted model, not a curated record.
CGCCCCACGCAUCCCUUCGUCCUCAAUUAAGAGGAUUAUUAUCCCGUAAUUUUCUCUCUGCCCAGUGCCCACAAAGCUUUGCCGCUCCUCCUCUGCUAUCCUAAUCCCGUAAUUUUCUCACAGAUGCGAGCGCGGAUAGCUGCCGCCGCCCACCGCUCCUCUACUUCCCAUGGGCCCGAGCAAACGUAGCCAACCACCCGAGGCAACGGAGCGGCGAGUGGCGGAGGAAGGGAGAGAAAGACGGGGGAAUGGGGUGAUGGCGUCGGCAGUGGCGGGGGUGGAGACGAUGCGGGCGGCGCACAUCCCAAUCAGGCAUGAGUAGUCCCGGCGCAAGGCAUCCUGGAAGGACCCCGAGGGCGGGUCAUUUCCGCCACUACGCGUGCCGAUUCUGCCCCGCGUCUUGGCGAGCUCCACGACCAGAUCCUCGCCGUCUGCGCCUCCUUCGCCGACCUUGCCGCGCAGCACUCCGCGGACUCCACCAAAGGGCCGACCAUGCAAUAGCAGAUUCAGGAUUGGUUGGCGAUGGUUAAGAUCAACCCGUGUGGUCAGCAGUAUUGGUACGACUCCUUUCCUUUGGGUGGUUAAUUCCAUGGCCACGUUGUUAACCAGUAGAAAGAUACAUUCGAAAAAAUGAACUGGAUAGAAAUAUGUUCUUGUGGAAGUCACGGGCAUGAAAGUUUUGUUUCACUCAUUCUCUUAUAUUUGUAGGCCUAUUUAUGAAUCAAUUUAUACUGUAGGCCUAGAUCCAUCUUACUUCAUAACAAAUAUUAUUGAUUGGUCGGUGGGAUAUGAUUUUGUGAAAUUACUUCCAUACGAACAGUGAGAAAUAUCUUAAUUCUCGCUUAUACUGCUCUCGACUCCCAUUGGAUUGCAGUAUAUAUCAUUUUUGUUAUAUUACACGAACCCCUUUUAUUUGUUAAAGUUGGGUAAAUCCAUUGUUAGAGUCCUCAUACGCCACUAUAUAUUGUAUUGAAUUAGUUCGAUGGAAAUGAUAAUGUGAUAUUACAACUCAUAUUUGGGAAAAGGCGAGCGAGUGUGGCAUGAUGUAUAUCUCAGAGUUAACACGAUUUGCUGAUUAACCAAGUCAUGAUUUUUUAGUUUUAUUCCACCACCGAAACAAUAACAUAUCUGCCUACACUUGGUGCUUCAGUUACCCGAUUUAAGUUGUAGUUAUUUUAAGAUGUUAUUUAGGUGGGUGUACCAUGUACCAUAUACAAUAUUUUUCAGCUAGGUUGGUAGUUGGUCUUUCUGUCCUGUGAGCUUAUUGAUUCAUCUGAUUAACAGAUGUUGGGUGGUGUUUUUUGGUCAGACAAGGUGGAGUUCAUGCUUGUAAUUGUAUACUGUAUGGUUCUGUUCAUAUGUUUUGCUCUAAUAGAUUGAUGAAAAUACAUGUCAAGCUAUUUUAUCACAAGAUUCCUACAUCGAUAAUUCAAAUGGACCUAACAUAUUGGGAACCUUUUCAUGGACUAUCCUCAUAAUGGAUGUCAAAUUCUUGCAUUCAGAGGCUACUGAGACCAUGGGCAAGAAGGAAUCAACAUUGGUACCAAUGCUGAAAUAUUUUUUGCAAGUCUCAAGCAUGGUUUCUUUCUGAUUGUGAGGAUGAAUUUUACAAAGAGGAUGUUUGAGAAGGUAAUCACAUAACUAUACAUGUUUUCUAAGCAUCUAAGAGGAUUACGUGUUCAGUUUCGUGCUGCAAUUUUAGAGCUUGAUUCUAGAAGUAAGGGUGCCCUCCUUUGAUAUACCUGGUUUGUGAAGAGGUGAUCGUGUGGCUGAAGAAUGAUGUUAAUGGUUGGAAGUGUUCCAACCAGGAAGCAUUCGGGUUGUGCCUGCGUUGGACACAGUGUUUUUUACGGUGAGACCAUUCAUGUGGAACUUUUCGGGGAGCAGAGUAAGAGCGAGCAAAACUAUGGGUUGAAUUUGUUGUGCUAAAGGGACCGACAUAAUGCAUUGUUGAGUUCUGAAUUCAUCAAGUUUGUGUCAGCUGUGCUGGAAGGUCAGUGUGCAGAAUUUGUGAAGUGUUAUAUACACAAACCAGUACAUUCUUCUUUCGGAAGGAGCUGUUUGCUUUGCUGGUGCUAAGGCACUUUGGAAUAGCUGGGUGCCAUUGAACUGCAAUUCAUUUGCUUGGCUUCGCAACAUCGAGUAUGGACAUCGGAUCGUCGGGUCAGAAGAGAGCUGCAGGUACAUAUUUGGCCAUGUUUUCUCUGAGCAGGAAGAGGACAUUGCGACCUCAUCCCGCUUCAGUGCGUAUAUACUCGACAGGUAUGGUAUCGAUGUCUUCGAUCGACUCAUCUUGAUGUUGUCCCUGCCCCUUCUGUCAUCGAUAAUAUUCCGGAUUGGUGGGGAGGUCUCGCCAGUUCAUUUCCAAAGCUAAAUAAUGUGGUUUUGAUUCUCUUGUGAUGCUUGUGUGCUAUAGCCUAUGAAAGCAACACAAUGCUAGGGCGUUCAACAAUGCUCAGCUUCAAGUCAACGAGGCAACACUCUGUGUUCUCAUUCUUUGUGACCUAAUUGCGUGAGGGAAUAGGAUGGCUGGAUUAUGUGAGUAGUCAUUGUGAUAUGUGUUGGUGGUGGAGCGUGGAUGUCGUCCCCCUUUGGGGUGCUCUUGUAACUUGUGUUCUCUUCUACAAAAUUAUGGUACAAAUUUGCAUACUCUCCAUAAAAAUAUACACAAACCAAAGAGAAAUUAUAUCACUGCCCUUACACAAUUUAUUGCAGGUAGGUGGAACGAACUUCUUAAAUCAUUCCUGCAUAUAAGCAAUUCACUAUAUUCUAUUCAUUUCACUUGAUACACCAUUUCAUAAUUUAUGUUCAAUUUUUUUAGUUCAAGAAAUUGUUUGGAUGAACUACGCUAUGGAAAAUGUGGUAUUUUUUACUAUUCAAGUAUAAUUAGUUUUUUUAUGUUUAUAGAGAGACGUCCAUGAUUACUAGGUAUUGGUACACAUGCUGACAUCACUUCCAGGGUUCAGUUUAGCAAGAAGACCAAUUACACCUACAAUGUCCAUUCCUGCAGCACCUUGGCUUGGCAAACAAGAAGACUCAAUGCAGCCAGCUGCUGAGUAGGAGAUGACUAUUGACCUCUCGACAACCAAGACAAAGAGACGCACAACAAGCCAAGAACAGGAAGAUGAAGUAAGUGCUAAGCUUAUUUUGUGUGUGAGUUGGUAUAUCGUUUCCAUCAUUCUAGAUUUGUUGUAAGAGUAUGGAGUUGAAUACGAUGAAUGAUGUGCUCACCGGACAAGCACACGUUUUGUCUAUAUACCAUGACUAGGUUUUCAAAAUAGAUUGAGACACCCCCUACUUUUCUUUAGAGACGAAGUUGUAUGCCAUUUAUGCCAGUAGUAGAUAUAUUUAUCAAA